GACGAACGCUGGCGGCGUGCUUAACACAUGCGAGUCGAACGGAAAGGCUCCAGCUUGCUGGAGUACUCGAGUGGCGAACGGGUGAGUAACACGUGGGUAAUCUGCCCUGCACUCUGGGAUAAGCCUGGGAAACUGGGUCUAAUACUGGAUAUGACCUUUCUCCUUAUGGGGUUUGGUGGAAAGUUUUUCGGUGUAGGAUGAGCCCGCGGCCUGUCAGCUUGUUGGUGGGGUGAUGGCCUACCAAGGCGACGACGGGUAGCCGGCCUGAGAGGGUGAUCGGCCACAUUGGGACUGAGAUACGGCCCAGACUCCUACGGGAGGCAGCAGUGGGGAAUAUUGCACAAUGGGCGGAAGCCUGAUGCAGCGACGCCGCGUGAGGGAUGACGGCCUUCGGGUUGUAAACCUCUUUCAGCAGGGACGAAGCGUAAGUGACGGUACCUGCAGAAGAAGCACCGGCUAACUACGUG
This 467-nucleotide ribosomal RNA is filed under the name uncultured bacterium. RNAcentral's name for it is "partial 16S ribosomal RNA". It matches the Rfam family "Bacterial small subunit ribosomal RNA", at positions 28 to 507 of the family's 1533-position model. The record is from RNAcentral.